AUUGAACGCUGGCGGCAUGCUUUACACAUGCAAGUCGAACGGCAGCGGGGGUGCUUGCACCUGCCGGCGAGUGGCGAACGGGUGAGUAAUGCAUCGGAACGUGCCCAGUCAUGGGGGAUAACUACGCGAAAGCGUAGCUAAUACCGCAUACGCCCUGAGGGGGAAAGUGGGGGAUCUUAGGACCUCACGUGAUUGGAGCGGCCGAUGUCAGAUUAGCUAGUUGGUGAGGUAAAGGCUCACCAAGGCGACGAUCUGUAGCGGGUCUGAGAGGAUGAUCCGCCACACUGGGACUGAGACACGGCCCAGACUCCUACGGGAGGCAGCAGUGGGGAAUUUUGGACAAUGGGCGCAAGCCUGAUCCAGCCAUGCCGCGUGAGUGAAGAAGGCCUUCGGGUUGUAAAGCUCUUUCGCGAGGGAAGAAAACGUACGGGCCAAUACCCUGUGCGGAUGACGGUA
Molecule: ribosomal RNA, 456 nt
Filed under: uncultured bacterium
Lineage: Bacteria
Description: bacterial SSU rRNA
Rfam family: Bacterial small subunit ribosomal RNA
Source: RNAcentral